UCCUACGGGGGGCAGCAGUAGGGAAUUUUCGUCAAUGGGCGCAAGCCUGAACGAGCAAUGCCGCGUGAACGAGAAAGGUCUUCGGAUCGUAAAGUUCUGUUGAAGGGGAAAAAGAGCGGAGAGAGGAAAUGGUCUCCGAUUGAUAUUACCCUUCGAGGAAGUCACGGCUAACUACGUGCCAGCAGCCGCGGUAAUACGUAGAUGGCGAGCGUUAUCCGGAAUGAUUGGGCGUAAAGGGUGCGUAGGCGGCCUGCUAAGUCUGAAGUGAAAGGUACCGGCUCACCCGGCACAGGCUCUGGAAACUG
This 305-nucleotide ribosomal RNA is filed under the name uncultured bacterium. RNAcentral describes it as "bacterial SSU rRNA". It matches the Rfam family "Bacterial small subunit ribosomal RNA", at positions 337 to 635 of the family's 1533-position model. The record is from RNAcentral.